CCUAACACAUGCAAGUGGAACGGUAACAUUGGUUGCUUGCAACCAGAUGACGAGUGGCGCACGGGUGCGUAACGCGUAUACAACCUGCCCUUUACAGGGGGAUAGCCUUUAGAAAUGAAGAUUAAUACCCCAUGGAAAGCGGCCGUGGCAUCACGGCCUCUUUAAAGCUUCGGCGGUAAGGGAUGGGUAUGCGUUCUAUUAGCUAGAUGGUGUGGUAACGGCAUACCAUGGCGACGAUAGAUAGGGGCCCUGAGAGGGGGAUCCCCCACACUGGUACUGAGACACGGACCAGACUCCUACGGGAGGCAGCAGUGAGGAAUAUUGGACAAUGGAGGCAACUCUGAUCCAGCCAUGCCGCGUGCAGGAAGACUGCCCUAUGGGUUGUAAACUGCUUUUAUAUGGGAAGAAACACCCCCUCGUGAGGGGGCUUGACGGUACCGUAGGAAUAAGGAUCGGCUAACUCCGUGCCAGCAGCCGCGGUAAUACGGAGGAUCCAAGCGUUAUCCGGAAUCAUUGGGUUUAAAGGGUCCGUAGGUGGAUGAUUAAGUCAGGGGUGAAAGUCUGCAGCUCAACUGUAGAAUUGCCCUUGAUACUGGUUAUCUUGAGUUAUCGUGAAGUAGUUAGAAUAUGUAGUGUAGCGGUGAAAUGCAUAGAUAUUACAUAGAAUACCAAUUGCGAAGGCAGAUUACUAACGAUUUACUGACACUGAUGGACGAAAGCGUGGGGAGCGA
This 731-nucleotide ribosomal RNA is filed under the name uncultured Cytophagales bacterium. RNAcentral describes it as "bacterial SSU rRNA". It matches the Rfam family "Bacterial small subunit ribosomal RNA", at positions 47 to 771 of the family's 1533-position model. The record is from RNAcentral. Lineage: Bacteria; Pseudomonadati; Bacteroidota; Sphingobacteriia; Sphingobacteriales.